Molecule: ribosomal RNA, 253 nt
Filed under: uncultured bacterium
Lineage: Bacteria
Description: partial 16S ribosomal RNA
Rfam family: Bacterial small subunit ribosomal RNA
Source: RNAcentral
UACGGAGGGUGCAAGCGUUGUCCGGAUUCAUUGGGCUUAAAGGGAGCGCAGGCGGGACAUUAAGUCAGGGGUGAAAGACGGUUGCUCAACAAUCGCAGUGCCUUUGAUACUGGUGUUCUUGGGUGACCUUGAGGUAGGCGGAAUGGGUGGUGUAGCGGUGAAAUGCAUAGAUACCACCCAGAACUCCGAUUGCGAAGGCAGCCUACUGGAGGUUUACCGACGCUCAGGCACGAAAGCGUGGGGAUCAAACAGG